CAGGGCUUCAACUGUGAUUGGUAAACAUAGACUUAGGAGAAGGCACAGGAAGUGAUGCAAGAGAAAUUGUCUUUAAAAGGGAGUUACAAUUUCCUAAAGGGUUUCAGCUUGGAGUUCUACUUGGAGUGGAGGCUGAAGAUAAUCUGCUGACUGGACCGGAGACCCUGUUCCUGAUAAGGAAAAGGAGAAUUUGUGAGAUUAAGCGACUUUCCCCAAGUUGA
RNAcentral lists this long non-coding RNA (221 nucleotides) under Monodelphis domestica (gray short-tailed opossum). RNAcentral's name for it is "lncRNA (ENSMODG00000037512.1)". The record is from RNAcentral. Lineage: Eukaryota; Metazoa; Chordata; Mammalia; Didelphimorphia; Didelphidae.